RNAcentral lists this ribosomal RNA (253 nucleotides) under uncultured bacterium. RNAcentral describes it as "partial 16S ribosomal RNA". It matches the Rfam family "Bacterial small subunit ribosomal RNA", at positions 524 to 776 of the family's 1533-position model. The record is from RNAcentral.
UACAGAGGGGGCAAGCGUUGUUCGGAAUUACUGGGCGUAAAGGGCGCGUAGGCGGCCUGCUAAGUCGAACGUGAAAUCCCUGGGCUCAACCCAGGAACUGCGUCCGAUACUGGUUGGCUUGAAUCCGGGAGAGGGAUGCGGAAUUCCAGGUGUAGCGGUGAAAUGCAUAGAUAUCAAGAGGAACACCAGUGGCGAAGGCGAGUCCCUGGACAAACCCUGACACUGAGGCACGAAAGCCAAGGGAGCAAACAGG